This 763-nucleotide ribosomal RNA is filed under the name uncultured bacterium. RNAcentral's name for it is "bacterial SSU rRNA". It matches the Rfam family "Bacterial small subunit ribosomal RNA", at positions 722 to 1499 of the family's 1533-position model. The record is from RNAcentral.
CAGCUCACUAGACUGCAACUGACACUGAUGCUCGAAAGUGUGGGUAUCAAACAGGAUUAGAUACCCUGGUAGUCCACACAGUAAACGAUGAAUACUCGCUGUUUGCGAUAUACAGUAAGCGGCCAAGCGAAAGCAUUAAGUAUUCCACCUGGGGAGUACGCCGGCAACGGUGAAACUCAAAGGAAUUGACGGGGGCCCGCACAAGCGGAGGAACAUGUGGUUUAAUUCGAUGAUACGCGAGGAACCUUACCCGGGCUUAAAUUGCAUUUGAAUAAUCUGGAAACAGGUUAGCCGCAAGGCAAAUGUGAAGGUGCUGCAUGGUUGUCGUCAGCUCGUGCCGUGAGGUGUCGGCUUAAGUGCCAUAACGAGCGCAACCCUUAUCUUUAGUUACUAACAGGUCAUGCUGAGGACUCUAGAGAGACUGCCGUCGUAAGAUGUGAGGAAGGUGGGGAUGACGUCAAAUCAGCACGGCCCUUACGUCCGGGGCUACACACGUGUUACAAUGGGGGGUACAGAAGGCAGCUACCUGGCGACAGGAUGCUAAUCCCAAAAACCUCUCUCAGUUCGGAUCGAAGUCUGCAACCCGACUUCGUGAAGCUGGAUUCGCUAGUAAUCGCGCAUCAGCCAUGGCGCGGUGAAUACGUUCCCGGGCCUUGUACACACCGCCCGUCAAGCCAUGAAAGCCGGGGGUACCUGAAGUACGUAACCGCAAGGAGCGUCCUAGGGUAAAACUGGUAAUUGGGGCUAAGUCGUAACAAGGUAG